GCCUGUGCUAUAAAAAGGGAAGCUACAAGUAGAGUGCAACUUCAGCAAAGGAUCGUAGCGCAAGAGUAACGCGGUCUGUCUGAAGUUUUAGAAGCUAUAGCCUAAAGAUAUUAGCCGGUCUGCGAUUAUUAGUCGGCAUGAAUACAGUCAAGGCUAUGAAAAAUGCAAUUGUCUGUCUUAUUUUACUGCCUCGCUUCUUCUUGGCAGCGAUAAUGCUGUGGUUUCUCGAUUUCCAUUGCGUAAGAAAGAGGGUCUUCCCCAAAAUGAAGGAACAAGAAGGAAAUAUUGUCGACCCCCCAGUAUGUAUUUCCGAGUCUAAUCGAAUGUUCAGCUGGGAGUCAAUCAAAGCCGUUUGGCAUGGCCAUAAACUGGACUUCUUAAAAUCGGCGCACCUUGGAUAUGUAGCGCCCAACACAGAAGUUGUGCAGCUCCGCGACCAGAGCUGCAACCGGAUUCUUGACUAUGCCAAAGACAAGCGACCGCUCAUUCUAAACUUUGGCAGCUGCACCUGACCACCGUUCAUGACACGCUUGAAGGCGUUCCAGCGUGUUGUGCAGCAAUACGCUGAUAUCUCAGACUCUGUCGUUGUUUACAUAGAGGAAGCGCACCCGUCGGACGGAUGGAUGAGCUCUGACGCUCCCUACCAAAUUCCCAAACACCGCUGUCUCGAGGACAGACUCAGUGCCGCUCAAAUAAUGAACCGUGAGGUCCCUGGGUGCCUUGUUGUCGCAGACAGCAUGGAUAACUCGUCCAACGCCGCAUAUGGAGCAUAUUUCGAUAGACUUUACAUACUUCAAGACGGAAAGAUUGUCUACCAAGGAGGUAGAGGGCCGGAGGGAUACCGCAUCUCUGAGCUGAGAGACUGGCUAGAUCAAUACAGACAAAGUGUUGGAAAUUCAAGAAAUGUCGUUAUUCAUGUCUAGAGUUUUAUAACAUUUUAGGCGUCACCAUUAAAUAAGUUAUGUCUCUACACAUUUCAUACACUGCAACUUUUCGACUUGAGAGUUGCGGCUCCAAUAAGGUGUCACAGGGACACACAAGCAUUUUCACUUGUGUUGUUUACCAGUGAUGUAUAUGUAGGCCUAUCCCAAUGGUUGCAGAAUUGCCUGUUUUAGUUGUAGUUGUUAUUUUGACCGUGGACAUCUCAACAUAUUACGUCAAUAGACGAUCGACUGCAAGGGUUUAUUUGUCAAAACCAGUUGUUCUGUGCUCCCAUAUUUGUCAUGUUCUCUUUAUGCGAAUGUUUGUGUGGAAAGUGUGAGUAAAGUAGGGUUUGCCAUGACCAAUUUAUUGCCAGUAUUUUUGUGAAGUUCGGUUUUUAAAAGGUACCUCACCAGAAAUCCGAUACUGAUGUUCUAAUGCUGAAGAUAAUGAUUGUGUGCAAUAUCUUUUUACUUGUAUUUUUGGUUUUGUAAAUAUGGUUAACUUUUUAUGGAGAUACUUUUAUAAUAAAAUGUCUUAUUCUA
Non-coding RNA from Salmo salar (Atlantic salmon), 1466 nucleotides. Lineage: Eukaryota; Metazoa; Chordata; Actinopteri; Salmoniformes; Salmonidae. The record is from RefSeq and is a predicted model, not a curated record.